This 57-nucleotide transfer RNA is filed under the name Ovis aries (sheep). It matches the Rfam family "tRNA", at positions 8 to 63 of the family's 71-position model. Rfam says of the family: Transfer RNA (tRNA) molecules are approximately 80 nucleotides in length. Their secondary structure includes four short double-helical elements and three loops (D, anti-codon, and T loops). Lineage: Eukaryota; Metazoa; Chordata; Mammalia; Artiodactyla; Bovidae. The record is from Rfam by way of RNAcentral.
UGGCUCAGAUGGUAAAGCAUCUGCCUGCAAUGCAGGAGACCUAGGUUCAAUCCCUGG